RNAcentral lists this ribosomal RNA (497 nucleotides) under uncultured bacterium. RNAcentral describes it as "partial 16S ribosomal RNA". It matches the Rfam family "Bacterial small subunit ribosomal RNA", at positions 28 to 507 of the family's 1533-position model. The record is from RNAcentral.
GAUGAACGCUGGCGGCGUGCCUAAUACAUGCCAGUCGAGCGAACGGACGAGAAGCUUGCUUUUCUGAUGUUAGCGGCGGACGGGUGAGUAACACGUGGAUGACCUACCUAUAAGACUGGGAUAACUUCGGGAAACCGGAGCUAAUACCGGAUAAUAUUUUGAACCGCAUGGUUCAAAAGUGAAAGACGGUCUUGCUGUCACUUAUAGAUUGAUCCGCGCUGCAUUAGCUAGUUGGUAAGGUAACGGCUUACCAAGGCAACGAUGCAUAGCCGACCUGAGAGGGUGAUCGGCCACACUGGAACUGAGACACGGUCCAGACUCCUACGGGAGGCAGCAGUAGGGAAUCUUCCGCAAUGGGCGAAAGCCUGACGGAGCAACGCCGCGUGAGUGAUGAAGGUCUUCGGAUCGUAAAACUCUGUUAUUAGGGAAGAACAUAUGUGUAAGUAACUGUGCACAUCUUGACGGUACCUAAUCAGAAAGCCACGGCUAACUACGUG